This 253-nucleotide ribosomal RNA is filed under the name uncultured bacterium. RNAcentral describes it as "partial 16S ribosomal RNA". It matches the Rfam family "Bacterial small subunit ribosomal RNA", at positions 524 to 776 of the family's 1533-position model. The record is from RNAcentral.
GACGUAGGGGGCCAGCGUUGUUCGGAAUUACUGGGUGUAAAGGGUUCGUAGGCGGCCAUGCAAGUCGGGUGUGAAAUCUCGGAGCUUAACUCCGAAACUGCAUUCGAUACUGCCGUGCUUGAGGACUGGAGAGGAGACUGGAAUUUACGGUGUAGCGGUGAAAUGCGUAGAUAUCGUAAGGAAGACCAGUGGCGAAGGCGGGUCUCUGGACAGUUCCUGACGCUGAGGCACGAAGGCCAGGGGAGCAAACGGG